Molecule: long non-coding RNA, 635 nt
Organism: Ictalurus punctatus (channel catfish)
Lineage: Eukaryota; Metazoa; Chordata; Actinopteri; Siluriformes; Ictaluridae
Source: Ensembl
UCGAGUCAGUAUUAUUUUCCACUGAGGGUUGGCUGAAACGAGGGUUUUUCCGCAGGUGGAGCAAUGCGAGAACAGAUAGAGCAACUGCGACACACGACACUCCGAGGAUUUAAACUUGAAGCACAUCCUGCCUCUGCUUUUCUCCAGCUCUUGAAACAGGGCGGAUGUGUAGAUGUUGAAGGAUAAUGUCGGGGAAUAUGCAGCUCAUUCAGUUCGCACGGAUUCUUCUGUGUCUCGUGAUUUUCAGGGACCUUUGGCACACAUAUUCAGUUUUUACUGAGUGGACUUGUGAUUGAUGAAGACAACAAUGUUGGAAUGCGGGACCAAGAAAUGGCGUCUAUGAGGCAGGGACGAGUUUUCUUAAGCCUUAUAAAUGAUGACAUACCUAAAACUGUGCCAGCGAUGGAGGAACUGCUUGUCAUGCUUGAAGAGGAAGCACAGUCCUUUAAUGAGGAUCAUUUUGAGACACUCAUAUUGGGAAUCAUCUAUUCAGCCUACCAGGUCCGUGAGAAGAGGCAAGAGAGUCAGCAGCAGGCGUGGGCAGGUGUCCUCGGGCGCCUGGCCAACGUCACUCUGGUACAGCUACGCAGAUCUUGAAUUAUGCCACAAAAUGCAGAAAACAGUCAGAUCCAGUC